UAAAUCAAAUAUGAAUAGUAAAAUAAAAAUAAAAAAAAUAAAAUAAAAUAAGAGAAAAAAAAACAAGUCAUAUUAUUUAGCCACCCGGACGAAAUUGGGUGUUGACAGCUGCUCUUCUUUACUUAGAUUUUACUGGAUAAUAGGAAAAUGUAAUAUUUUCGUAUUAUCUGAAUAAAAGUUAAGUAAAGAUAGAAACACUAAUUUCAUCUGGGUUUCAAACAUGAAAGAAAGCGAACAAAAAUGAAACAAGUCACGAUCAAAUGACCAUUGCCUAGCAGAGUACCAAUAACAGAAAACUAAAACCUGGAUUUGACCAUUGCCUCGCAGAGGGCCAAACUCGCAGAACAGAAAUUUAAAUCCAACCAUUGCCAAGUAGAGGGCCG
This 383-nucleotide long non-coding RNA is filed under the name Vigna radiata. RNAcentral describes it as "long non-coding RNA (VRAD_LNC010240)". The record is from RNAcentral. Lineage: Eukaryota; Viridiplantae; Streptophyta; Magnoliopsida; Fabales; Fabaceae.